RNAcentral lists this long non-coding RNA (1302 nucleotides) under Homo sapiens (human). RNAcentral's name for it is "HSALNT0077055". The record is from RNAcentral. Lineage: Eukaryota; Metazoa; Chordata; Mammalia; Primates; Hominidae.
AGUGUUUUGAGCUCAGGAAAUUCCAAAAGUCAGUGGAGCAGAUUAGAAGGAAAGUUCUAGAAAUGAAAUGACAUUGGAGUUCCUAAAAGAAAAGAGAAAGAUCAAAUUAUAGGGCUUGCACUGAGUUUCAAAGAGGAUUGGCAAGAUGGGUUGUAGAAUUAAAUGACAGGCAGAGUGUGUAUGUGGAGAAGGGUUGGUGUAAAUGUAUGUGUGUUGGUGUGUGUGUACACAUGCAUGAGAGAGAGAGGAGGGAAGCAACAGAGGGCUAUUGAUGCAAACCUAUAGCCUAAUUAAUUAUCCACGACAGAAAAAGAAAUUCCUCCUACCCUUGCAAGUUGUCUUGUCUUCCUCUGAAUACAAAGUGUAUACCAACAGAAUCUACCAGCCAACCAGAACAGAAAUUACCCUUGUUUGGAGAACUUCAAAAAAUUAUCAGAUGAGAACUCACAGAAGACACAGGAAUACGACAUAACAACAGAUACAGAGCCUGGAGUAAUGACAGUACAAGUCAAGGAACACCAAGGAUCACCAGCUGCCACCCAACCCAGGAAGAGGAUUUUGCUCCUCAAGUCAUUGUACUUUGGUACCUACGAAUUUCAACCUUGUCCUUCAUACCCCGUGGGUGUGAAGAUUCCUGGCAGGACUCUAUUUCCACGCUGCAACUAGGUAAAUAAAUGUUCCCAGGAAAAACCUUUAGAGUUUAGUAUAGAAUUAUAGAUUCAAAAGCAGUUUUCCUUGAAACUUUGAAAGCAUUGGUUCAUUAUUUUUUAGUAUCCUGGGUUGCUGAUGUGACAUUUUAUUAAAAGCAAAACAAAACAAAACAAAAGCUCUGCUCAUUACUCCGCCACCCGCCAUACUCAGAUUCUUAUUCUUUCCCCUGAUUUUCUGAAAUUUAUAAGGUUGUGUCCAAGAAUUGCAGUUGUUUUUUUUUUAUUAUUUAUCCUGUUCAGCACUUGGUGGACUUUUCAGCAGAGAAACUUCAAAUCAUUUUUUUUAAUUACAUGAAUUUUCUUCUAUUUCUCUUAUUAGUUCUUCCAACUAAUUUUCUAUCAUUGAUUUAAAAGAUAGACCUCCUAGACUGAUCAUCUAUGGCUCUCUCAGUAAUUUUUCUCAUAUUUUUCAUCUGUUAGUCUUUUGUUCCAUAUUAAAAAAUGACUUCUUCAAAUUUUAUUUUAGGUCCUUCUAUACCUACAUAUACCAGUAUCUAUUUAUAUUCCUAUAGAAUAUAUUUUAAUUCAGAGUACCUUAUUUUUCCAGUUUCCAAAAACACAUUCUUAUUUUCUGAUUGAUCUUUCCUCACAG